Molecule: non-coding RNA, 28 nt
Filed under: Homo sapiens (human)
Lineage: Eukaryota; Metazoa; Chordata; Mammalia; Primates; Hominidae
Source: RNAcentral
UCACUCUUCUUGAGUAGGCCAUAAUCCA